This 701-nucleotide ribosomal RNA is filed under the name uncultured Lachnospiraceae bacterium. Its description in RNAcentral is "bacterial SSU rRNA". It matches the Rfam family "Bacterial small subunit ribosomal RNA", at positions 62 to 776 of the family's 1533-position model. Lineage: Bacteria; Bacillati; Bacillota; Clostridia; Lachnospirales; Lachnospiraceae. The record is from RNAcentral.
CCUUUUAUUGAAGCUUCGGCAGAUUUAGAUUGUUUCUAGUGGCGGACGGGUGAGUAACGCGUGGGUAACCUGCCUUAUACAGGGGGAUAACAGUCAGAAAUGACUGCUAAUACCGCAUAAGCGCACAGAGCUGCAUGGCUCAGUGUGAAAAACUCCGGUGGUAUAAGAUGGACCCGCGUUGGAUUAGCUGGUUGGUGAGGUAACGGCCCACCAAGGCGACGAUCCAUAGCCGGCCUGAGAGGGUGAACGGCCACAUUGGGACUGAGACACGGCCCAGACUCCUACGGGAGGCAGCAGUGGGGAAUAUUGCACAAUGGGGGAAACCCUGAUGCAGGGACGCCGCGUGAAGGAAGAAGUAUCUCGGUAUGUAAACUUCUAUCAGCAGGGAAGAAAAUGACGGUACCUGACUAAGAAGCCCCGGCUAACUACGUGCCAGCAGCCGCGGUAAUACGUAGGGGGCAAGCGUUAUCCGGAUUUACUGGGUGUAAAGGGAGCGUAGACGGAUGGACAAGUCUGAUGUGAAAGGCUGGGGCUCAACCCCGGGACUGCAUUGGAAACUGCCCGUCUUGAGUGCCGGAGAGGUAAGCGGAAUUCCUAGUGUAGCGGUGAAAUGCGUAGAUAUUAGGAGGAACACCAGUGGCGAAGGCGGCUUACUGGACGGUAACUGACGUUGAGGCUCGAAAGCGUGGGGAGCAAACAGG